CUACGGGAUGCUCCAGUGGGGAAUAUUGCACAAUGGGCGCAAGCCUGAUGCAGCCAUGCCGCGUGUAUGAAGAAGGCCUUCGGGUUGUAAAGUACUUUCAGCGGGGAGGAAGGGAGUAAAGUUAAUACCUUUGCUCAUUGACGUUACCCGCAGAAGAAGCACCGGCUAACUCCGUGCCAGCAGCCGCGGUAAUACGGAGGGUGCAAGCGUUAAUCGGAAUUACUGGGCGUAAAGCGCACGCAGGCGGUUUGUUAAGUCGGAUGUGAAAUCCCCGGGCUCAACCUGGGAACUGCAUCUGAUACUGGCAAGCGUGAGUGUCGUAGAGGGGGGUAGAAUUCCAGGUGUAGCGGUGAAAUGCGUAGAGAUCUGGAGGAAUACCGGUGGCGAAGGCGGCCCCCUGGACGAAGACUGACGCUCAGGUGCGAAAGCGUGGGGAGCAAACAGGGUUAGAUACCCGAGUAGUC
Molecule: ribosomal RNA, 464 nt
Filed under: uncultured bacterium
Lineage: Bacteria
Description: partial 16S ribosomal RNA
Rfam family: Bacterial small subunit ribosomal RNA
Source: RNAcentral